GUAAGUUGGGCCCAUAGUGUAGGAAGCCUGGAAUACCAGGAAAAAAUGUGUGUCUAAUUCUUUAAGUUGCCAGUUCAUAUUUACCUCAUCAUAAGAUCUGUUUAAAAUUAAUUACUUUUUUUUUUUUGGUAUUAAGUAUAUGCAUUAACAUUGUAUUUAAAUUUGCCAUAGGUUGCUUUCCCUUAUGUAUACUUUUAUGCAUUGAGUUUCUUUAAGCAAAAUGGUGACAAUGAUAUAAAUAACUGAAAAAGUUAUCAUUUAAUAAGGUUAAUUAUCUGAUAAUCUUAGAUUCUGCUAAUGGGAAAUCAGUAUGUAUUACAACAUUAUUAUAAAUCAUGAAUACAAAUUUUGAGUAACAAAC
RNAcentral lists this long non-coding RNA (361 nucleotides) under Bos taurus (domestic cattle). RNAcentral's name for it is "long non-coding RNA NONBTAT018646". Lineage: Eukaryota; Metazoa; Chordata; Mammalia; Artiodactyla; Bovidae. The record is from RNAcentral.